RNAcentral lists this ribosomal RNA (447 nucleotides) under Candida tropicalis. RNAcentral's name for it is "eukaryotic LSU rRNA". The stretch from base 95 to 248 matches the Rfam family "5.8S ribosomal RNA". Lineage: Eukaryota; Fungi; Ascomycota; Pichiomycetes; Serinales; Debaryomycetaceae. The record is from RNAcentral.
UCUUUGGUGGCGGGAGCAAUCCUACCGCCAGAGGUUAUAACUAAACCAAACUUUUUAUUUACAGUCAAACUUGAUUUAUUAUUACAAUAGUCAAAACUUUCAACAACGGAUCUCUUGGUUCUCGCAUCGAUGAAGAACGCAGCGAAAUGCGAUACGUAAUAUGAAUUGCAGAUAUUCGUGAAUCAUCGAAUCUUUGAACGCACAUUGCGCCCUUUGGUAUUCCAAAGGGCAUGCCUGUUUGAGCGUCAUUUCUCCCUCAAACCCCCGGGUUUGGUGUUGAGCAAUACGCUAGGUUUGUUUGAAAGAAUUUAACGUGGAAACUUAUUUUAAGCGACUUAGGUUUAUCCAAAAACGCUUAUUUUGCUAGUGGCCACCACAAUUUAUUUCAUAACUUUGACCUCAAAUCAGGUAGGACUACCCGCUGAACUUAAGCAUAUCUAACCCCGG